UAAGAUGAAGUUUUCGGAUGGAAUCUUGAUUGACUGAGUGGCGGACGGGUGAGUAACGCGUGGAUAACCUGCCUCACACUGGGGGAUAACAGUUAGAAAUGACUGCUAAUACCGCAUAAGCGCACAGUGCCGCAUGGCAGUGUGUGAAAAACUCCGGUGGUGUGAGAUGGAUCCGCGUCUGAUUAGCCAGUUGGCGGGGUAACGGCCCACCAAAGCGACGAUCAGUAGCCGACCUGAGAGGGUGACCGGCCACAUUGGGACUGAGACACGGCCCAAACUCCUACGGGAGGCAGCAGUGGGGAAUAUUGCACAAUGGGCGAAAGCCUGAUGCAGCGACGCCGCGUGAGUGAAGAAGUAUUUCGGUAUGUAAAGCUCUAUCAGCAGGGAAGAAAAUGACGGUACCUGACUAAGAAGCCCCGGCUAACUACGUGCCAGCAGCCGCGGUAAUACGUAGGGGGCAAGCGUUAUCCGGAUUUACUGGGUGUAAAGGGAGCGUAGACGGCGAAGCAAGUCUGAAGUGAAAACCCAGGGCUCAACCCUGGGACUGCUUUGGAAACUGUUUUGCUAGAGUGUCGGAGAGGUAAGUGGAAUUCCUAGUGUAGCGGUGAAAUGCGUAGAUAUUAGGAGGAACACCAGUGGCGAAGGCGGCUUACUGGAC
This 658-nucleotide ribosomal RNA is filed under the name uncultured Lachnospiraceae bacterium. RNAcentral describes it as "bacterial SSU rRNA". It matches the Rfam family "Bacterial small subunit ribosomal RNA", at positions 58 to 734 of the family's 1533-position model. Lineage: Bacteria; Bacillati; Bacillota; Clostridia; Lachnospirales; Lachnospiraceae. The record is from RNAcentral.